UGGGGAAUAUUGGACAAUGGGCGAAAGCCUGAUCCAGCCAUGCCGCGUGGGUGAAGAAGGCCUUCGGGUUGUAAAGCCCUUUUGUUGGGGAAGAAAUCCUGCUGGCUAAUACCCGGCGGGGAUGACGGUACCCAAAGAAUAAGCACCGGCUAACUCCGUGCCAGCAGCCGCGGUAAUACGAAGGGUGCAAGCGUUACUCGGAAUUACUGGGCGUAAAGCGUGCGUAGGUGGUGGCUUAAGUCUGUUGUGAAUGCCCUGGACUCAACCUGGGAAUUGCAGGGGAUACUGGGUCAGUGGAGUGUGGUAAGGGAUGGCGGAAUACCCGGUGUAGCAGUGAAAUGCGUAGAGAUCGGGAGGAACACCCGUGGCGAAGUCGGCCACCUGGGCCAACACUGACACUGAGGCACGAAAGCGUGGGGAGCAA
This 424-nucleotide ribosomal RNA is filed under the name uncultured bacterium. Its description in RNAcentral is "bacterial SSU rRNA". It matches the Rfam family "Bacterial small subunit ribosomal RNA", at positions 355 to 771 of the family's 1533-position model. The record is from RNAcentral.